GGCAUAGCGCCGGAUGAACGGAUAACUCUGAUGACGUUAAUUAAGGAGCACUCUCCCUAUGCCU
RNAcentral lists this transfer RNA (64 nucleotides) under Amynthas carnosus. RNAcentral's name for it is "tRNA-Ile". Lineage: Eukaryota; Metazoa; Annelida; Clitellata; Crassiclitellata; Megascolecidae. The record is from RNAcentral.